RNAcentral lists this ribosomal RNA (594 nucleotides) under uncultured bacterium. RNAcentral's name for it is "bacterial SSU rRNA". It matches the Rfam family "Bacterial small subunit ribosomal RNA", at positions 338 to 950 of the family's 1533-position model. The record is from RNAcentral.
CCUACGGGAGGCAGCAGUGGGGAAUAUUGGACAAUGGGCGAAAGCCUGAUCCAGCAAUGCCGCGUGAGUGAUGAAGGCCUUAGGGUUGUAAAGCUCUUUUACCAGGGAUGAUAAUGACAGUACCUGGAGAAUAAGCUCCGGCUAACUCCGUGCCAGCAGCCGCGGUAAUACGGAGGGAGCUAGCGUUGUUCGGAAUUACUGGGCGUAAAGCGUGCGUAGGCGGCGAUUCAAGUCAGAGGUGAAAGCCUGGAGCUCAACUCCAGAACUGCCUUUGAAACUAGAUUGCUAGAAUCAUGGAGAGGUGAGUGGAAUUCCGAGUGUAGAGGUGAAAUUCGUAGAUAUUCGGAAGAACACCAGUGGCGAAGGCGGCUCACUGGACAUGUAUUGACGCUGAGGCACGAAAGCGUGGGGAGCAAACAGGAUUAGAUACCCUGGUAGUCCACGCCGUAAACGAUGAUAACUAGCUGCCAGGGCUCAUAGAGCUUUGGUGGCGCAGCUAACGCAUUAAGUUAUCCGCCUGGGGAAGUACGGUGCAAGAUUAAAACUUCAAAGGAAUUGACGGNUUGAGACGNGCGAGNGACGACGAGGGAGAGG